RNAcentral lists this transfer RNA (59 nucleotides) under Argas persicus. Its description in RNAcentral is "tRNA-Gly". Lineage: Eukaryota; Metazoa; Arthropoda; Arachnida; Ixodida; Argasidae. The record is from RNAcentral.
ACUUUAUUAGUAUAAAUAGUACAUUUAACUUCCAAUUAAAAAGUUUUUAGAAAUAAAGU